UGGGGAAUUUUGGACAAUGGGCGAAAGCCUGAUCCAGCAAUGCCGCGUGUGUGAAGAAGGCCUUCGGGUUGUAAAGCACUUUUGUCCGGAAAGAAAUCCUUGGCUCUAAUACAGUCGGGGGAUGACGGUACCGGAAGAAUAAGCACCGGCUAACUACGUGCCAGCAGCCGCGGUAAUACGUAGGGUGCAAGCGUUAAUCGGAAUUACUGGGCGUAAAGCGUGCGCAGGCGGUUUGCUAAGACCGAUGUGAAAUCCCCGGGCUCAACCUGGGAACUGCAUUGGUGACUGGCAGGCUAGAGUAUGGCAGAGGGGGGUAGAACUCCACGUGUAGCAGUGAAAUGCGUAGAGAUGUGGAGGAAUACCGAUGGCGAAGGCAGCCCCCUGGGCCAAUACUGACGCUCAUGCACGAAAGCGUGGGGAGCAAACAGGAUUAGAUACCCUGGUAGUCCACGCCCUAAACGAUGUCAACUAGUUGUUGGGGAUUCAUUUCCUUAGUAACGUAGCUAACGCGUGAAGUUGACCGCCUGGGGAGUACGAUCGC
Molecule: ribosomal RNA, 541 nt
Filed under: uncultured bacterium
Lineage: Bacteria
Description: partial 16S ribosomal RNA
Rfam family: Bacterial small subunit ribosomal RNA
Source: RNAcentral